GACGAACGCUGGCGGCGUGCUUAACACAUGCAAGUCGAACGGAAAGGCCCUGCUUUUGUGGGGUGCUCGAGUGGCGAACGGGUGAGUAACACGUGAGUAACCUGCCCUUGACUUUGGGAUAACUUCAGGAAACUGGGGCUAAUACCGGAUAGGAGCUCCUGCUGCAUGGUGGGGGUUGGAAAGUUUCGGCGGUUGGGGAUGGACUCGCGGCUUAUCAGCUUGUUGGUGGGGUAGUGGCUUACCAAGGCUUUGACGGGUAGCCGGCCUGAGAGGGGUACCGGCCACAUUGGGACUGAGAUACGGCCCAGACUCCUACGGGAGGCAGCAGUGGGGAAUAGUGCACAAUGGGCGGAAGCCUGAUGCAGCAACGCCGCGUGCGGGAUGACGGCCUUCGGGUUGUAAACCGCUUUCGCCUGUGACGAAGCGUGAGUGACGGUAAUGGGUAAAGAAGCACCGGCUAACUACGUG
Molecule: ribosomal RNA, 468 nt
Filed under: uncultured bacterium
Lineage: Bacteria
Description: partial 16S ribosomal RNA
Rfam family: Bacterial small subunit ribosomal RNA
Source: RNAcentral